AACUUGAAAUAAUUUUAUUAAAGUGGACAAAAGUGUUUAUUUUAACAUAACAAAAGAGAAAAAUAUUAUUCAAACUUCCUUCAACAGAGGGGAUUAUCAUUUACUAAAAUAAAUAUAAGUGUGAAACAAAUCAUACGAGCAGCAAGAUAAUUUUAUUUUUAUUUUAAUUAACUUUUAUGGCUUCUUUGUGAGCAUCCCGAGACAUGCACAAAUCCCAAAUUUUGGCCUUAUAAAUUCGGGCUCUGAAACCCAAAACCCGCAGACUGGACUUUCGUCAGCUUCGAUACACUCAUAAUCUUGACAAUCCGCAUUAUUUUGGCACGCAGCUAAUAAGAAUUAAGGAACAUUAUUAAAAUGAGGGUGAAACAAUUUGAAUAAGAAAAUUUAAAGGUAAAAAUUAUUAGGAAUAUACAUAUAUAAAAUCUAGACAAAAUUCAUUUAAAAUUUUAAUUUAUUUUAAUAAAAAUUAGGGCUAAACAAGUUUUUGAACGAUAUAAAUAUUCUCAAAUUUCAUUAUUAGUCUAUAUAACAUAUCUCAGCAAGUUUUGGUCUCCCAAAUUUUUUUCAUAACUUUUGAUUCGUAUUUGUAAACAACUAAAUUUUUUGAGGGAGAGAUUUUUAUAUUAUUAUAAAUAUAAAUAUAAAUAUAAAAACUCAUUAAAAAUUAAGAAAGAUUGAUCAGGAAAUUAAAUUUUUUGUCAGAGAGUUUAUAUAAUGUAGUAAAUAUGAAUGCAGAAAAUAAUAAAAAUUUCAAGUAAUAUAAGAUGAGUUGACAAAGCCACUAGGUUUAGUUUAGUGGUGAGAGGUUUGAUCAGUAGUAUGCAUGGGGCUUUAAGUUCGACUCUCACCAAUUCCAUUAUAAACCAAAAAAUUAUAUAUAAAUGUGUUAACUUAAAAGCAUGGACAAAAAAUCGUACGGAAGAUAUUUGAAGAUCAAAACUUGCUGAAAUUUUUUAUAGGAGUUAAAAACGGAAUUUGACAUAUUUAUAUGUACAAAAUAAUUUUAGCAUAAAAUUAUUUAACCUUAUAAAUUAACAUAAAAAUACGUUAUUAAAUUUUGUAUAGAAAUACCACUAUAUCAAACUAAAUUUUGAGAUACCAUAGUUCACUUAAUUUAAAAGCAAUGAUAAAAAUUACUUACCACUUGUUAUAGAAAUAAAUAUGGAAAAAAAGAUAAUCGUUGCAAAAAUGAACAUAUAAACUUUAACCAUAUUUUUUCCUUUAUGAAUCUAGAAAUAGGAAUCAUUUGCUAGCUUUAUAGUGUGAAAACAAUUUCAUAGAUGUAAGGUUAUUAUUAAAAUUAUUUGUUAAUAUCAAAC
This 1319-nucleotide long non-coding RNA is filed under the name Trifolium pratense (red clover). RNAcentral describes it as "long non-coding RNA (TPRA_LNC000622)". Lineage: Eukaryota; Viridiplantae; Streptophyta; Magnoliopsida; Fabales; Fabaceae. The record is from RNAcentral.